GAGAGAGAAAAGUUAGGUUUCGAUGUGAAUAUAGCUAAUUAGUGAAGCAAAAGAAGAAAAAUAAAGAAACAUGUUUGAUGGUGGAGUACCGGAACAGAUCGACCAGUUCAUAGCAUCUCCACAGCCACCUCCUCUGCUUCCGCCGCAUCAACCGGCGACUGAAAGAUCACUUCCUUUUCCUGUCUCAUUCGCUUCCUUUAACUCAAACCAUCAAGCCCAGCAUAUGUUGAGCCUCGAUAGCGGCAAGAUCAUUCAUCAUCAGCAUCACCAUGGCAUCAAAGAUGGUGGUGUUUCUUCUGAGUGGAUAGGUCAUACGGAUCAUGAUGGCCAUAAUCAUCGUCACUUUCAUCAUCCAUGGUGUAGUGAUGAAGUUCUUGCUCUUCUUAGGUUCAGAUCUACGGUGGAGAAUUGGUUCCCUGAAUUUACUUGGGAGCUCACUUCAAGGUAAUACAUUUUCACACACACUCAUACACAUAUGAAAUAUACUUCUAUAUAUAUAUGCACAACCAAUAUUUAUAUAUUUCCAUAUAUGCAUAUGGACAUGGACAUUAAUCUCUUUAGUCUUUUCUUACAUUAGUUUGAUUACAAAUUUUAAAAUCUGCGCUCAAUUACAAGUGAGAAUUCCGGUUACGCAAUAUGAUGAUUUGAUAGGCUACAGAUCUUGUUUUUUGUCGAACAAUCACUUUUGGAAAAUUUAAUUUUAAUGAUGGCAAAUGAUUGGCCACGUAUACGUAUUUAUACAUAAUUGGCAUUUCUCGAGAAGUUUUAUUAUACAAUGAACUGAAACAUGAACUUAAUGGAUAUAUCAUAUAGGGAAAAAAACUUCAAAUGGUUAUAUGCUUGUAUAUUUUUGGUAUGUGUGUAUAUUUGCAUAAUUAAUGAUGCUAUGUCGUUUAUGGAAUUAUGAUGGCUGUAUAGAAAGUUGGCAGAAGUUGGGUUUAAGAGGAGUCCACAAGAAUGCAAAGAGAAAUUCGAAGAAGAAGAGAGAAGAUAUUUUAAUAGUAACAACAAUACUAAUGAUCAUCACAUCAGUAACUACAACAACAAAGGAAAUUAUAGGAUGUUUAGUGAGGUUGAAGAGUUUUAUCAUCAUGGUCAUAAUGAUGAUGAGCAUGUCUCAUCAGAAGUUGGGGAUAACCAAAACAAGAGGAACAAUUCGCUAGAGGGAAAAGAAAACGUUGAGGAAAUGGGACAUAACUUAUUGGAAGAGGGCAAAAUAGAUCAUCAGGGUCAGAGUCAAGUAGAAGAAUCAUCAAUGGGGAAUAAAAUAAACCCCGUCGAUAAUGUUAGAAACGAAGAUGGUGCAAAGUCAUCAUCAUCAUCAAGCUUGAUGAUGAUCAUGAGGGACAAGAAGAAGAGGAAGAGGAAGAAAAAGGAGAGGUUUGGUGUGUUGAAAGGGUUUUGUGAGGGACUUGUGAGGAACAUGAUAGUCCAACAAGAGGAGAUGCAUAAGAAGCUUCUUGAAGAUAUGGUGAAGAAGGAAGAAGAAAAAAUGGCUAGAGAGGAAGCUUGGAAGAAGCAAGAGAUGGAGAGGCUUAACAAAGAGGUAGAGAUUAGAGCAAACGAACAAGCUAUGGCUAGUGAUAGAAACACCAGCAUCAUCAAGUUCAUAUGCAAGUUCACAGGCCAUGAUAACCAUGAUGAUGGAAAUGGUACGGUUCAGAGUCCAAGCCCUUCUCAAGACUCAUCUUCCUUAGUUCUACCAAAAACCCAAGGCAGAAGAAAGUGUCAAACUUCAUCAUCACUAUUACCUCAAGCCCUAACUCCACAUAACCCUAUUUCUCUUCAAACCAAUGACAUACCACUUGAGCCCAUUUCAACUGAAACCCUAAAAACCAAAACCCAAAACAGAAAACCUCCACUAAGUGAUGAAAAGAGUGACACUGGCAAGAGAUGGCCUAGGGAUGAGGUGUUAGCUCUUAUCAACAUCAGACGCAGCAUCAGUAGCAUAAAUGAUGAUGAUCAUCAUAAAGGUGGGAUCUCAUUAUCAUCAUCAUCCUCUAGAGCUGUUCCUUUGUGGGAAAGAAUAUCCAAGAAAAUGGUGGAGAGUGGGUACAAGAGAAGUGCCAAGAGAUGCAAAGAGAAAUGGGAAAACAUCAACAAAUAUUUUAAGAAGACAAAAGAUGUUAACAAGAAGAGACCACUGGACUCAAGGACUUGUCCUUAUUUUCACCAACUUACAGCUUUGUACAGCCAACCCUCCACUGGGACCACCACCACCGCCACCGACACGUCAACCGGAGAACUGGAAACCCGGGUUGGAUCGGGCGAUCCUGAUGAUAUUCCUGCAGUCAUUCAUGUAGAUGCAAAUGGUGCCGGCGAAAAAAGCAAUGUACAAUUUUCAGGUUUCGAUCUUGCGUUACCAUAAACCUCAAUACAAGAAAUAUAAAUAUAUUACUAGUUUAAUUUCUUUUCUUGUUUUUUCCCCUUUAAAACCUCAUUUUUGGUUAUCAUGGAAAAUUUAAAUAAUAUAUGAAUAAUGUCAUUUACUGUUUUGACGCAUCAGUAGAAACGUAUACGCACUAUUUUAGUUGGACAGUACACGUGCACCGACAAACAGUGAAAUUCAGUUGAACUUGAAUAAACUACUGGUUAAAUUAUGGUUAUGGCAUUUUUAUGAACUUCACACAUGUGACGAGAAUCGAGAUCAGGUUUUUCAAUAAGAAAUGUUGUAAGAAAAAGAAACAGUAUACGGUAAUUCUUCAUGGAAACUUCAUUCAAAUCCAUCCUGUACGUUUUUAUUUGGUGACUAAAGGUGGAGAACGAGCUAGAUGAUGGGUGGGGGACAUGAACAUUAAUAUUAAUACAAGUCGUUUCAGUCUUAAUACUGAUUUAAGAUACCAAAGAUUCAGAAAGGAAAUUUGACAGAAUUAUUUGUCUAUUUUAUUUUUUAUUGUCUUAAUUUCACAUGUGAUUUUGUACAGUUUUAGUGUACGUAAUGUUUUGUUAUAUUCUUGUUUUAUAGGAUAACGAUAAAGAUGAUUCUUGUCAUGUUUUUCUUUUCAACUUCUAUUUACAGCACAUAUUUUGAAAAUUUAUCCCAUUUUGAAACCAUUUUGAAAUGUAUUUUCAUUCAGAAUAAUCAUUCUGAUAUAAAAUCGUAGCGAAACUUGUUAUGCUUGUAUUCGCAUAUCCAUUGUAACUGUGGGACAAUAUACCAAAUAUUUGCGAUUGACUUGUUACUUAGUUUAUCAGUAGCUAAUUAGUCUGUAUUUUUUCUCUAAAUAUUGUUACAGUUACAAUAUGUAGCAAAUGUCAUAACAAAGACGCAUAAACUGGUCGAAUUGUAACCGUACGUGAUGAUAAUAUUUCAUAUUAUGAUAAACAUAAAAUAUCGUAUUAUGAUAAACCUACAUCCCAUAAGUUCACAAUAGUUGGAUGUGUUCACAUUUCACAGUUCACACACACUGUAUUACUUAGCUGUACGAUCAGUUGUUCUUUUAUAGAAUAGUACUUGUUAGGAACCUCGAAGCUCAAUGAUAGAGAUGGCACUAUUGCUGUUAGAGGUAUUAGGUAUAUAUAGAAAUAUUCCACUAAAAUGGUAUCAAAGUCGUAUGAUUCAUAUCCUUCCACAACACGUAAUUCACACACCUAACAAAAAAAUUGAAAACAAAUGAAAAACAAUUAUUCUUAAUGCACGACCGACUAAAAGUAUACAAUGAACAGACAACUUCGGGCUUUUUUUUUUUGUUUAGGAUAAGUUUAGUGGUAGUGUAAGAGAUUUUUCUUUUGUGUGUUCUGAGAUCAAAUCCUUUUUUAAACAAAACUUUUUUGGUACAAAUUUUUAAUAAAAAAUUGUUCUGCUAAAAUUAAAAUUUUAAAAUAAUUCUAAACUUUAAAUUAAAGAGAUUAUGGAUUGAAGUUACACAACUGUGAAAAUCUUCAAAGCAAACUUGUUUUUUUUUCCUCCAUGGAAGAGUACUGCAUAGUUAACAUCAUACUGAUUUGAUAAAAAAAAAUAUCAUACUGAUAAGACAUAAAACAUCAUCCGCAUAUACCUUUCUCUGAUAUUUCACCACGUAUUAUUUUCUUUCAGACAUGCAUAUGGUUUUUCACUCGCUUAAAAUAAUGGGAAUAAUAUGUUACAAACACACCUAAAUGAAUGGUUUUGAAGAAAAAAAAAAUCUAAUCACCGUAAAAUUACAUAUAAUACCUUGAUUUUUUUUUUUUGUAAAAAAUAGGGUAAAUAAUUACCUUAAUCUUAUACUCUAGUUAGAUGCACAUUAUACGUAUUUUUGUUAUAGCUUAGUAUAAUUUUAAGACUGCAUAACUUGACUAUCCUGGUUAAAAAAAGAACUGCAACCAGUUGACUACUUAUAAUAUCAAAUAGACAUAAUAAUUCAGAUUUUUAUUCAGGUUCAAGUGUAUUCUUAUCAAUUUAGAUUGUUAAUUAUCUGAAUAAAAAAAAUAAACGGAUCAAGAUUAAUUCGGUUCUAACUUUUUGAUACAUAUAAGAUGUGAUUGGUAGUGGUUAUAGGAUGCUGUCGAUAAUUCUAUUUAUUUUUACAGUACCAAAUUCAUAUCAAUCAAGUUUUGAUGAAAAAUUUAAAUCAUAAUUCUUAAAAUAACAUACAGUUAUACAAGUGUUAUGUAGAACCAAAUAUUCACAUCAAUUUUUCGGGUUUUCUAUAAAAUCUAAAGCCAUAGUAAAUUUUGCAGUAAAAUUUUUAAAGCUACAGAUAUUACCAAUCGGAUCCAAAAAAAACAAUUUCAUGAUUUCUUUUUAGUUUUCCUUAUAUUCAAUAGAGCAAUGUCUACUGUUCACCUUUGAAAGUGAUGAAUUAACCAAUUAUUUAAGAAAACGAUAUACUAUUAUACAAAAAUAUUUCCAGCGUAAAUAUUAAACAAUUAAUAGACAUUAAAUAGAGUCACAAGAUAUAUAUAUAUAUUUAUUUUAUAUUAAAAAGAAAUAAUAAAGUCGAUUUACGUCUCUCACGGUAACUCUGUCGUUUUCCUCACACUCUCAGAGACAGAGAAGAGAGAGAGAGAGAGAGAGAGAAGCAGAGGUCUCAUGGCGAAGCAGCUUCUUUCCCAGCUUCCUCUCCACAGUCACUACUUCCUCCACUACGGUGCCGUUUUGUAGCUUCUUCUCGGAUAAUGCCACAAUCACAUUCCUCCAGUCUCUCACCGACACUUUCAUAGGUUUGCUCCUCUCACUCACCGCUCUCUCCUCCGCAACGGUGCCGUUUUGAACUCAAGAACUCUUUUUUUCUGUGGUGUUUAAUCGAACAUAAAACAUUUGAUUGGUCUUUUCAUUACCUCAAAAUGUGAGCGAGUAGAAGUGUUUUCAGACCAAUUAUUGUAAUAAAGAUUCGAGCUUUAAACAAGACAAAAAAAAAAAACUAUAUUCCGAUAGAGAAUGGUUCCAAUAUUCUGAAUAAAGCGAAUAGAACAAAAAAGGAAAAAUGAUUUUAGCAUUCUAUUUUAUUCUUGUAAUUUGACAUAACUUUCAAUGUUAAAUAUUGUAAUCUGUUAAAGCUUAAUAUAAACCUCGGAUAGAUUAACAAUGUAGACUAAAAUCAGAAAAUACAUGCUUAAUAUAUUAAUAAUAAAAUGAUUUAGCUUAAUAUUAGCCUCUGUGAUAUUUUUUAUUUUAAAAUUUUAUAUUUAUAUCCCUAUAAAUGAAUAAGAUAGCAAUAUAAAAAGAGAGACCAAAUGGAGAGAGAAAAGUUAGGUUUCGAUGUGAAUAUAGCUAAUUAGUGAAGCAAAAGAAGAAAAAUAAAGAAACAUGUUUGAUGGUGGAGUACCGGAACAGAUCGACCAGUUCAUAGCAUCUCCACAGCCACCUCCUCUGCUUCCGCCGCAUCAACCGGCGACUGAGAGAUCACUUCCUUUUCCUGUCUCAUUCGCUUCCUUUAACUCAAACCAUCAAGCCCAGCAUAUGUUGAGCCUCGAUAGCGGC
Molecule: long non-coding RNA, 5902 nt
Filed under: Brassica napus (rape)
Lineage: Eukaryota; Viridiplantae; Streptophyta; Magnoliopsida; Brassicales; Brassicaceae
Description: long non-coding RNA (BNAP_LNC001830)
Source: RNAcentral